Molecule: ribosomal RNA, 223 nt
Filed under: uncultured bacterium
Lineage: Bacteria
Description: partial 16S ribosomal RNA
Rfam family: Bacterial small subunit ribosomal RNA
Source: RNAcentral
UACGUAGGGUGCAGGCGUUAAUCGGAAUUACUGGGCGUAAAGCGUGCGCAGGCGGUUUGCUAAGACAGGUGUGAAAUCCCCCGGGCUUAACCUGGGAACUGCGCUUGUAACUGGCAAGCUAGAGUGUGGCAGAGGGGGGUGGAAUUCCACGUGUAGCAGUGAAAUGACGUAGAGAUGUGGAGGAACACCGGAUGGCGAAGGCAGCCCCCUGGGCUAACACCUG